Molecule: non-coding RNA, 31 nt
Filed under: Homo sapiens (human)
Lineage: Eukaryota; Metazoa; Chordata; Mammalia; Primates; Hominidae
Source: RNAcentral
CAGGCUUGGGUGAUAAGGGCCUAAACUUAGG